RNAcentral lists this long non-coding RNA (2361 nucleotides) under Gossypium barbadense (sea-island cotton). RNAcentral describes it as "long non-coding RNA (GBAR_LNC011697)". Lineage: Eukaryota; Viridiplantae; Streptophyta; Magnoliopsida; Malvales; Malvaceae. The record is from RNAcentral.
UUGGGUUAUUUCCUCUUCAAUAUUUAACAUAAGCUCACUUUUAUCAAAUGUUGGUAUCCUCUUUAAUAUUUAACAUAAGCUCACUUUCAUCAAAUGUUGGUACUUGAUCAAGUUCUCCAUUAUCUGAAUCUAAACUGUAUUAUUAAGAUUAUCAAGAUCUUUUAGUAUGGAUAAUCCCAAAUCCACCUACGAUAAAGCUAUGAAGUAUGCAACAUAUUACUACGAUCCAACCUUGUUUUUUUAUGCUACACUAAGAUGAUGUUAUUAAUAUGGAAAUAUUUUUUUAGAACAACAAAUGUCUUUCAAUGACAUUUUGAAGCCUUGAAUGUCUCAAAUUAAAGAGUUUGUAAGUUAUCUCUUGUUACAUUCUCUCAAAUAAUUCAUUUCUUGUUCCGUUCUCUCAAAUAAUAUCAUAAUCCACGAUAUAGUACAAGAAAACCUCUUGGAUUUGCAUAAUUAAUAUUUACCAUACAAUAUGAGGGUUCAUGGUGCAAAUGGUCUGUUAAUUAAUCAUAAAAACUCAUAUAAACCUAAUUUGAAAAAAAUUAUGCUAAGUGAUAACCCUUUUUAUAAUAUGUAAAUUAAGCAAAAAAAUAAUUUAAAAUUUAUAUUAUAUAACUUUUAUAAAAAGAGUGUUUACAAAGUGUCUAAUAACUUUUAUCAUAAAUAAUAUAACUUUUUGUCAUAACUUUAAAAAGUUAUUUUUUUACAAAUAAGUUAUGAUAAAAAAAUAUAAUAUUUUUUUACGAAAAAAAAAUUAUUUUUAUAACAUAUAGUAAGGGCACAUAAAUAAAUUAUGUUAUAACUUUUUAUAAAUAAAUAUAUUAUGACAUAUAAAUUACUUUUUAUAAUACAAUUUUUUUUGGCCAUAACUUAUUUCUUAGUUAUAAUAAAUACACCUAAAUUAUUUUUACAAGAUAAUUUUCUAAUCCUAAAUAUUAAGUCGUGUUUAUGGUUAUAAUACAUAACUUGUAACGAGGUUGAUUGCAAUAGAAAACAGUUGUACACACCAACAAACCCAAUCCCUAAGAAAGUGGAUUCGUCUAAAAAGUAUUAGUAUUAUAAAUAAAGUAUUAAGUAACAGUCUGAUUUUGUUGCUAAAUCUGUAACCCAAACGGGCGCAAGCAAUUAUAUUAAUCCGGAAGAGAUAGGAGGAAACGUGAUGCGCGAGGAGGGAGUGAAGGCGCGUGAAUGCAACAUUUAAUCAAAAUGGCAUUUUAAAUGAAGUGCGUCAGUAAGUUAGUCAGUACGUCGUUGCAAAUUGACAUCUAGCCAGCUGUUUAUUUACGUAAUUUGCCACUUUCCCCGAAAUUCAACAACCAGGAACGAUGCCCCCCUGUGCCUUGUAUCAUUAAGCAUCUCACGGCUAAUAUUUGCUUCUUGCAGUUAUGUUAUUCUAGGUCCAGUUUGAGGUUAUCAUGCACACACGGAAUAGCUUUUCUGCUAAGGACUAUAUUGUCUUUUUGUGGUGAUGUAUUGUAUUUUUUGUCUUAUUGAUCUUACAUUGGCAACUGCUUGGAAGAAUCCAAUGAGACUUCAUCCAAUAGAUUAUUUUUAAAAUAUCACACAAAAAAGUUGAAUCAUCUAGGUGCCAUGCUUAUAUUUCAAUCAUAAAAGUUUGAUAAUAUUAUGAGAUUAGUGUUGAUUUGAAUUUUUCUUUUGUAUGAAAAUUUUGGGUGUUUGAAUGAUUAGUAUUUAUAAAAAUAAAUAUUUUUAAUUAAAUAAUGAGAAAGUUGACUUAUUUUCAUAUUAUAUUUUAAAAAAUAAGUAGUAACAUAAACGUGGUGAAAAUAUAAACACAAAUUGUAGUGGUGGAAAAAGAACAUUUCCCUCCUUCACAUUAUAAGUUUUUAAUGGAGAAAGGGACUCUUAACUCAAAUCAAUCCUACACAGUUAAAUCGCACCCCAAAUAAGAAGCUGUUGCGCGACAAUUGGGUGAUUUUUUGGGCAAGUUUCUUUGAGUACGAUUCUAAGAGUUUGAGUAAGGGUGUACGGAAUUUCCUAUGGAUAACUAGAUGUUAGAAGGCCUUUAACAAGGAAGAAGAAGACCAUAUUUGAUUCUCGAAACUUCAACUAUAUGUUAGUGUAACGACUCAAUAGUCAUGUGUAAUUGAAAAUUAUAUUUUUGGAUCUCCGUUUUCGUAAAACGGAUUCGAAAAUAUUUAUUAAAAAUAUUAACGAAGCUAGUUGUGUAGUUAAUUAUGUUUUGAUUAGGUGAAUUUGUAUGAAAUAAGAUAAUUAGGUAUAAAGACUAAAUUGCAAAAAGAGUGAAAGUUAAAUUAUAGAUUAAAGAAUAAUUGAAGGGACUAAAUAAAAAUUAUUUCAAUUGGAUUGAAUGAGGCGGUAUUUACUAUAAAACUU